This 544-nucleotide ribosomal RNA is filed under the name uncultured low G+C Gram-positive bacterium. Its description in RNAcentral is "bacterial SSU rRNA". It matches the Rfam family "Bacterial small subunit ribosomal RNA", at positions 1 to 532 of the family's 1533-position model. The record is from RNAcentral. Lineage: Bacteria; Bacillati; Bacillota.
GCCCUUAGAGUUUGAUCCUGGCUCAGGACGAACGCUGGCGGCGUGCUUAACACAUGCGAGUCGAGGGGACCCCCGGUACUAACCUUCGGGUUAGUACCGGACCAGGUUUACCGGCGGACGGGUGAGUAACACGUGGAUAACCUACCCAAGAGUUCGGGAUAACAGCUCGAAAGGGCUGCUAAUACCGGAUAUACCCAUAAGGGUGCAUGGUAUUAUGGGGAAAGAUAGUCCAUUAAAGGGUUAUCGCUUUUGGAGGGGUCCGCGUCCCAUUAGCCAGCUGGUAGGGUAAAGGCUUACCAGGGCGACGAUGGGUAGCCGGCCUUAGCGGGUGGUCGGCCACACUGGGACUGAGACACGGCCCAGACUCCUACGGGAGGCAGUAGUGGGGAAUCUUGCACAAUGGGCGAAAGCCUGAUGCAGCGACGCCGCGUGAGUGAAGAAGGCCUUCUGGUUGUAAAGCUCUUUAUAGGGGGAAGAACUUAGACGGUACCCCUUCAAAAAGCCCCGGCCAACUACGUGCCAGCAGCCGCGGUAACACGUAGGG